This is a long non-coding RNA of Arabidopsis thaliana (thale cress), 461 nucleotides long. RefSeq annotates it as other RNA. The record is from RefSeq. The transcript has a single exon. Lineage: Eukaryota; Viridiplantae; Streptophyta; Magnoliopsida; Brassicales; Brassicaceae.
CAAUUUUCUUGAUAAACUGUUAAAGGUGGAAAAUUUUCAAGUCACAACAGGUUAGAAUUAGAAAUCCGUCUCUCAAUCUCCCAGCUUAGUAGUAGUGGUUUCCUUGAAGCUCUUGGACAACCAAAUCGCUGUUUCUCUGGGUGAAACUUUGCCUGGACCAAAUGGUCUUAAUAAGACAUUGAGCUCAUCGUACCUCUCAUCUUGAAGCAACCUUGCACUGAAUUCAAGCAAUCCCUCCAAUGCCUCGGCUCGUUGCUGAUAAGAGCUAGGAUCAAAUCUUUGUCUCCUUACACCCGACGAAGCCCUGCUUGAUGCUCCAGCUGUCGCAUUUUGAUCAGAUGAUUCACUCCUGUCUUCCAGAUAUGCAUCUUCUUCAUACACCGCCUUCAUAAUCGCUCCUUCUCUGUUUUGGCCUGGUUCAAGAGUAAAUUUGUCUUUUGUGAUUGAGCAGUCUAGUGGUG